Molecule: ribosomal RNA, 719 nt
Filed under: Bacillus sp. (in: firmicutes)
Lineage: Bacteria; Bacillati; Bacillota; Bacilli; Caryophanales; Bacillaceae
Description: bacterial SSU rRNA
Rfam family: Bacterial small subunit ribosomal RNA
Source: RNAcentral
UGAUGUUAGCGGCGGACGGGUGAGUAACACGUGGGUAACCUGCCUGUAAGACUGGGAUAACUCCGGGAAACCGGGGCUAAUACCGGAUGGUUGUUUGAACCGCAUGGUUCAAACAUAAAAGGUGGCUUCGGCUACCACUUACAGAUGGACCCGCGGCGCAUUAGCUAGUUGGUGAGGUAACGGCUCACCAAGGCAACGAUGCGUAGCCGACCUGAGAGGGUGAUCGGCCACACUGGGACUGAGACACGGCCCAGACUCCUACGGGAGGCAGCAGUAGGGAAUCUUCCGCAAUGGACGAAAGUCUGACGGAGCAACGCCGCGUGAGUGAUGAAGGUUUUCGGAUCGUAAAGCUCUGUUGUUAGGGAAGAACAAGUACCGUUCGAAUAGGGCGGUACCUUGACGGUACCUAACCAGAAAGCCACGGCUAACUACGUGCCAGCAGCCGCGGUAAUACGUAGGUGGCAAGCGUUGUCCGGAAUUAUUGGGCGUAAAGGGCUCGCAGGCGGUUUCUUAAGUCUGAUGUGAAAGCCCCCGGCUCAACCGGGGAGGGUCAUUGGAAACUGGGGAACUUGAGUGCAGAAGAGGAGAGUGGAAUUCCACGUGUAGCGGUGAAAUGCGUAGAGAUGUGGAGGAACACCAGUGGCGAAGGCGACUCUCUGGUCUGUAACUGACGCUGAGGAGCGAAAGCGUGGGGAGCGAACAGGAUUAGAUACCCUGGU